UCCCUUGUCGACACAAAGACAGUUUGUUUGUAACAGGACAGAAGCCAAGAAGAAAGAAAUGGCGUCGACGGUGGCAAGCCUCUCAAUUCCGGCGACCACCUUCGCGGCGGCGGCGGCCGGCGAUGUGCUCCCAAGGAGGAAGGCCGCCGCCACCGGCCGCGUCUGGUUCCCCGUGGCGCGGCGCGGCGGAGGAUUCGCCGUGAGGUCGACCGGGCCGGCCACGCCGUCGAACAUCUCCGACAAGCUGUCGGAGAGCAUCAAGGAGGCGGAGGAGACGUGCGCGGACGAGAAGGGCACCGCGGAGUGCGCGGCGGCAUGGGACAAUGUGGAGGAGAUCAGCGCCGCGGCGAGCCACGCCCGCGACAACCUCAAGGAGAACAGCGACCCGCUGGAGAAGUACUGCAAGGAGAACCCGGAGACCGACGAGUGCCGCAUCUACGACAACUAAUAAUAAGCGCGUGUGUACAAGUAAUUAAUCGAUCACACGUGUUAUUAGUUUGUUAAUGAAUCAAACGUGUUGAGUUAUUAGUUUGUUAUUAUG
RNAcentral lists this long non-coding RNA (541 nucleotides) under Sorghum bicolor (sorghum). RNAcentral's name for it is "long non-coding RNA (SBIC_LNC016968)". The record is from RNAcentral. Lineage: Eukaryota; Viridiplantae; Streptophyta; Magnoliopsida; Poales; Poaceae.